RNAcentral lists this transfer RNA (85 nucleotides) under Patescibacteria group bacterium. RNAcentral describes it as "tRNA-Leu". It matches the Rfam family "tRNA". From Rfam's summary of the family: Transfer RNA (tRNA) molecules are approximately 80 nucleotides in length. Their secondary structure includes four short double-helical elements and three loops (D, anti-codon, and T loops). The record is from RNAcentral.
GCUGGGGUGAUGAAACUGGUUAUACAUGGGAGACUUAAAAUCUCCUGCUCGCAAGAGCGUGUGGGUUCGACUCCCACCCCCAGCA